GCCCGGAAGAGGAAGAAUAGAGGGCCUUAGAGUAGUGGGAAUGGGAACAUGGAGGAAAGCCUAAAUUGCUCGGUUUUCACCUCUAGUGUUGGAGGUGAAAAAUCUAGUUUGGUGUUUCCCAAUGCCUCCCAUUCCUAUUGUUCUAAAGCACUCCUUCCUCUUCCUUUUUUGG
This is a non-coding RNA of Triticum urartu, 172 nucleotides long. Lineage: Eukaryota; Viridiplantae; Streptophyta; Magnoliopsida; Poales; Poaceae. The record is from Rfam.